RNAcentral lists this transfer RNA (69 nucleotides) under Marmota marmota marmota (Alpine marmot). It matches the Rfam family "tRNA". From Rfam's summary of the family: Transfer RNA (tRNA) molecules are approximately 80 nucleotides in length. Their secondary structure includes four short double-helical elements and three loops (D, anti-codon, and T loops). Further hydrogen bonds mediate the characteristic L-shaped molecular structure. tRNAs have two regions of fundamental functional importance: the anti-codon, which is responsible for specific mRNA codon recognition, and the 3' end, to which the tRNAs corresponding amino acid is attached (by aminoacyl-tRNA synthetases). tRNAs cope with the degeneracy of the genetic code in two manners: having more than one tRNA (with a specific anti-codon) for a particular amino acid; and 'wobble' base-pairing, i.e. permitting non-standard base-pairing at the 3rd anti-codon position. Lineage: Eukaryota; Metazoa; Chordata; Mammalia; Rodentia; Sciuridae. The record is from Rfam by way of RNAcentral. RNAcentral also lists the same sequence under 2 other names.
GGGGUUGUGGCUCAGCGGUAGAGCACUUGCCUAAUAUGUGUGAAGCCCUGGGUUCGAGCCUCAGCACCA